This 93-nucleotide non-coding RNA is filed under the name uncultured Romboutsia sp. RNAcentral's name for it is "TPP riboswitch (THI element)". It matches the Rfam family "TPP riboswitch aptamer (THI element)". Rfam says of the family: Vitamin B(1) in its active form thiamin pyrophosphate (TPP) is an essential coenzyme that is synthesised by coupling of pyrimidine and thiazole moieties in bacteria. The record is from RNAcentral. Lineage: Bacteria; Bacillati; Bacillota; Clostridia; Peptostreptococcales; Peptostreptococcaceae.
UAUGUAGGGGAGCUAAUUUGCUGAGAGGAGAUAAAUAAAUCUCGACCCUUAACCUGAUUUGGAUAAUGCCAACGUAGGGAAAGUAUUAAUUAU